This 343-nucleotide long non-coding RNA is filed under the name Actinidia chinensis (golden kiwifruit). RNAcentral's name for it is "long non-coding RNA (ACHI_LNC004447)". The record is from RNAcentral. Lineage: Eukaryota; Viridiplantae; Streptophyta; Magnoliopsida; Ericales; Actinidiaceae.
GUUUCAUUCGCCAUAGAUUAUCCAUAAAGGAGAAAGUGUUUGGUAUCAUGAUGCACAGUGUUUCUAUAGCAACUCAAACAACAAAGGAACUUGUUCUGAAGGUAACACAUAUUCCUUUUGCCUUUUGUUCUUCUCAUUCUUGUUAUUUUGAGUGCAUAUAUAGGACAAACGUCUAAUUAUUUACUUUUUUUCCUACAGAAGACAGAUUAUGCCAUGAGACCCACUUAAAUAAUGUAGUGCACUUCAUCGGAACACACUGAGUGAUUCCAUGGUAAAGAAUGUUGGAAAUUGAUUUGGGAAUAAAAAAAUUGUAGAAAUCCAAGUUUUGAGGGCUCAUGAGAUU